CUUUACUAUAUAAAUCCCAACUUUCCCAACUCUAAAUCCCCACUUUUUGUACCAUGGGAAUCAUUUAUUCUUAAGAAGACUGCAUGUAAUGUGUCAUAUUCCUUGUCUUUCCUUGUAGUCUGCCAGUGUUGUUCUACUACGUGUACAAAGUGCAGUAACUCUGUCACUAGCCCCACUGCAGGGCCCCGAUUUUUGGCCUGCCCACAUCAGGCCCCGUGUCGCCCAUUGUUGGCCCCUGUCUUACUGGUUUGCCCAUUGUUGGCCCCUGUCUUACUGGUUUGCCCAUUGUUGGCCCCUGUCUUACUGGUUUGCCCAUUGUUGGCCCGUGUCACCCAUUGUUGGCCCCUGUCUUACUGGUUUGCCCAUUGUUGGACCCUGUUUUAUGCAAUGACCAUUGGUCCCUGUGUUUGAUUACCUGAUUUCUACAGUGUUAUUGAUUAACUGAUAUCUACUGUGUUACUGCUUACCUGGUUUCAACGUUCUGUUUGGUAUCAAGUACCUGUCUAUCUAUUUGUGGUUCUGAGAGUUUCUCUGCUCUGUUCUAUCUCUCUCUCAUCAUAUCAGCUUAAAUUGCUCAACUAAAGUGCACACAUAAUUGCAAAACUGAUAAAUACUGUUGCUGACUCAGUCUUACUGUUGAGCUACUGUUUCUUGUCUACGAGGCACCUGGAUUCAAGUGGAGGAAGCUGCAAGCAGAAGCUCUCAUCUCAUCACUGCAACAACUGCCUGAACUUAACUGUGUUAAGACUUAACAUAAGACUAUAAUAACAUACGCCUAUAAUAGUAUAAAGGUUAUUCUGCUGGUAAGUGCAAAGAAUCUUAGAGGAUAUUAAGACUGUUGGUCUGAAUAUAAGUGAAAACUAUUACAAACACAGUUCGACUUAAUUUAUCCACUUGUGAUUCAUAUUAAAGAAAUAUUGUCAUUGUUCUCAAACUUUUCAGUUCAGUGAGGCUUUUCAGGUUUGUAGACUUGUUACAAUCUAAUAACUAUCCUGAAUUUAAUUUGAAUAUUAUUAGGUUAUUGGUCCCUGAUGUAAAAAGGUAAAUUAAAAUAAAGAAUAUAAAACCAAUGGUGAAUAGACCUUU
Molecule: long non-coding RNA, 1086 nt
Organism: Betta splendens (Siamese fighting fish)
Lineage: Eukaryota; Metazoa; Chordata; Actinopteri; Anabantiformes; Osphronemidae
Source: Ensembl